This 139-nucleotide ribosomal RNA is filed under the name uncultured eukaryote. RNAcentral describes it as "partial 18S ribosomal RNA". It matches the Rfam family "Eukaryotic small subunit ribosomal RNA", at positions 1299 to 1458 of the family's 1831-position model. The record is from RNAcentral.
UGGUGGAGUGAUUUGUCUGGUUAAUUCCGAUAACGAACGAGACCUUAACCUGCUAAAUAGCCAGGCCGGCUUUGGCUGGUCGCUGAGCUUCUUAGAGGGACUGUCAGCGUCUAGCUGACGGAAGUUUGAGGCAAUAACA